RNAcentral lists this ribosomal RNA (420 nucleotides) under Fusobacteriota bacterium. RNAcentral's name for it is "Fusobacteria bacterium partial 16S ribosomal RNA". It matches the Rfam family "Bacterial small subunit ribosomal RNA", at positions 355 to 776 of the family's 1533-position model. Lineage: Bacteria; Fusobacteriati; Fusobacteriota. The record is from RNAcentral.
UGGGGGAUAUUGCACAAUUGGCGAAAGCCUGAUGCAGCGACGCCGCGUGGGGGAUGAAGGCCUUCGGGUUUUAAACUUUUUUUGCUCUGAACAAGGCAUGCCUUUGGGGUGUGUUGAGUGUAGGGGUUGAUUAGCGCCUGCUAACUACGUGCCAGCAGCCGCGGUAAUACGUAGGGCGCGAGCGUUGUCCGGAAUUAUUGGGCGUAAAGGGCUUGUAGGUGGCUGGUUGCGUCUGUCGUGAAAGCUCAUGGCUUAACUGUGGGUUUGCGUUGGGUACGGGCUGGCUUGAGUGCAGUAGGUGAGGCUGGAAUUCCUGGUGUAGCGGUGGAAUGCGCAGAUAUCAGGAGGAAUACCGGUGGCGAAGGCGGGUCUCUGGGCUGUUACUGACGCUGAGGAGCGAAAGCGUGGGGAGCGAACAGG